CUUCGAACAGCCUAUAUGGAAUCGGGAUUCAAUCCGACGGCAAUCCAAACGAGCUAUGGCUCAAACGAAUCAUCGUUCCAUUCUGAGAAUUUCGUGGAACAACUUUUUUCUCGAAAAUUUUUUUUUAAUACCGAGAACCAGAAAA
Bradysia coprophila is the source of this 145-nucleotide long non-coding RNA. NCBI's taxonomy places the organism in Eukaryota, Metazoa, Arthropoda, Insecta, Diptera, Sciaridae. The record is from RefSeq and is a predicted model, not a curated record.